UAGAGAGGCAGUAGGCCUUGCUGAGCUGCAGUGGGCUCCACCCAGUUCAAGCUUCCCAGGCUCUUUGUUUACGCUGUGAGCACCAAACCGCCUAUUCAAGCCUCAGCAAUGGCAGACACCCCCUCCCCACGCCAAGCUGCAGUGUCGCAGGUUGAUCACAGACUGCUGCGCUAACAGUGAACAAGGCUCCGUGGGAGUGGGACCUGGCGAGCCAGGCAUGGAAGGGAAUUUCCUGGUCUGCCAGUUGUGAAGACCAUGGGAAAAGCACAGUAUUUGAGCAGGAGUGUACCAAUUCUCCAGGAGGUCACAAAAUGUUAUACAGUAAAGUAAUUGGAGCACCACCUGGUGGGCAUUCUGGCUACAUUCCUGACUUGAAGGGAACAAAAUGUGGUUUUUUGAGACCAAGGAGGAAUAUGACUAGGAAGACAUGUCUCCUCCCUUCCGCUGGAGACUGAAGUAACAACUACGUAACUCAUAGAACCUUCCAACCACCUAAUACUUUAGGAAUGUGCUUGGAGCUCUUCUAAAUCCAUCUCACUUGAACUGCAAAGCCAGAAACAACAGCCAUUAUUCCUCUGAAGCCUGCAAAAUGCUGAGUAGAUUAAAAGGAUUAUGUUUCUGUUCUCAUAUGCUCAAUGCCCAUAGCUCAACAACCUUACUUUUACAAGAACCCAGCAACAAUGAUUUCAUUUUGAAUGAAUCCACGAUCUUCUCUGCAACAUAGUUAAAUGUAACCAGGCCAGGACGGUGGCUCACCCUUGUAAUCCCAGCACUUUGGGAGGCCAAGGCGGGAGGGUCAUUUGAGGCCAGGUUUUCGAGACCAGCAUGUGCCACCAUGCCUAGCUAAUUUUAAAAUUUUUUUGUAGAGAUGGGGUGUCGCAAUGUUGCCCAGGCUGGUCUUUAACUCCUGGCCUCAAGUGAUCCUCCCGCCUCCGCCUCCCAAAGUGCUGGAAUUACAAGUGUGAGCCACCGUGCAUGUCAACCAUUCUUAUUUAUUCUGCUUUUUAUUUUCCUGGCUUCUCUUCAGCACUCUCAACCAUUCUUUAUAGCAAUGCUCCCCAAAUUUUUUCAUGUGGUAUUGCUCGUAGAAAGUGAUAAUAUUAGUACAGUGCUGGACUAAAUGGAUGAGGUUGCUCAAAGGUUUUAUGCAGCCUCUCAAAGAGAUGCCACUGGGAUUGAGCUCACUUGCCCAAGACAGUAACCCGCUUCUCAAUGUAUCCUUUAAUGGUGUUCCUCUUUUGCCAGUCUUACUUGCCCACUCCCUGAUCAUGCCUCCUGGGAUCACCUCCCAAGUAAACUACUUUCACCCAAAUUCUUGUCCCAUCACAGUAGAUAAUGAAUACCAAAAAAAUGGCAAAAUGACAAUAAAACUAAUAUCCAAGCAAAGUGGACCUUUGUGCAUCAAGCUUUGCUCUAAAACAUGUAUCAACCUAUUAGGUAAAGCAAUGCAUUGAUUAAUUAAUGAAGGUAAUUACUUAAAUUCUGUGCUUCACUUUGCAUGUGGAGGCACUGCAUGCAUUUUAAGAACAUUUUUAGACUUAUAUCAAGACAUUUGUCUUUCAUACCUAAAGAACUAAGCUACAAAAGGUUUAAUGACUUCCCACGUCACAUCUUUAACAGUAAAAGUCAAAAUAGUUAAAAUUCAUUGAGCAUUCACUAUAUGCUGGAUUCUGUGUGAAGUACUUUUCAUCAUUCCACUAAUCAU
This 1705-nucleotide long non-coding RNA is filed under the name Homo sapiens (human). RNAcentral describes it as "HSALNT0107612". The record is from RNAcentral. Lineage: Eukaryota; Metazoa; Chordata; Mammalia; Primates; Hominidae.